UCUGUGUCCGGGGUGGGAAGGGCCAAGCACAGAGUUAUCUUCUGCUGCCUUCUACCACCUAGCCCUGGCCCAGUUCCUUUGCCAUUUAUCACUUGUUAUCGCUAUUUAUCACUAUUAUUAUAAUCUCUAUUUAUCUAUGGUCCAGGGUACACAGCAGGAGUCUUCCUCCCACUCCCCCCGUGCUGUUCUAAAGAGAGGGUGUGCUUUGUAGGGUGGUUCAUGAUGGAAUCAUGGGUGGGAAACCACGAGCCGUGGGUGGAAAGCUGGAAUGGCACCUGUGGCUGCAGAUUCCUCAAAACAACUGACUUUGGAAAGCACUGCAAUAAGAGACAGAUUAUCCAGUCUCAUAUGUGGGUUCAAGAAGAGGGCUGCAGUUUGGGGGGAAAAAGCUUCUAAGAGCCUGGGCUCAACUCCAAAGAAAUUGGUCUCGAUUUAGUGAAGAGGCUUGGAUGUGUGUGAAACCCAAAUGAAUGGGCAGCAGGACCAGG
Molecule: long non-coding RNA, 488 nt
Organism: Corapipo altera (White-ruffed manakin)
Lineage: Eukaryota; Metazoa; Chordata; Aves; Passeriformes; Pipridae
Exons: 3
Source: RefSeq, a predicted model, not a curated record